AACGCACCUUGCGCCCUUUGGUAUUCCGAAGGGCAUGCCUGUUUGAGUGUCAUGUAGACUCAACCCCUCGGGUUUCCGAGAUGGUUGGAUUUGGGCGUUGCCUACCCGGCUCGCCUUAAAGGUCUUAGCGGAAUAGCACCGAUGUCGGCGUAAUAAGUUUCGUCGACGGACUAGUGUGAUGUCUGCUUACAAUCGCCCUCGGGCAUCUUUUGACUCUGACCUCAAAUCAGGUAGGACUACCCGCUGAACUUAA
RNAcentral lists this unclassified non-coding RNA (253 nucleotides) under uncultured fungus. RNAcentral describes it as "sequence contains ITS2". The stretch from base 1 to 52 matches the Rfam family "5.8S ribosomal RNA", at positions 103 to 154 of the family's 154-position model. The record is from RNAcentral. Lineage: Eukaryota; Fungi.